RNAcentral lists this ribosomal RNA (908 nucleotides) under Weissella soli. Its description in RNAcentral is "bacterial SSU rRNA". It matches the Rfam family "Bacterial small subunit ribosomal RNA", at positions 1 to 922 of the family's 1533-position model. The record is from RNAcentral. Lineage: Bacteria; Bacillati; Bacillota; Bacilli; Lactobacillales; Lactobacillaceae.
AAGUCGAACGCCUUGUGGUCUUAAUGAAUGGAGUGCUUGCACGAUAUGAUUUAAAACAAUGCAAGGAGUGGCGAACGGGUGAGUAACACGUGGGAAACCUACCUCUUAGCAGGGGAUAACAUUUGGAAACAGAUGCUAAUACCGUAUAACACUAAAAACCGCAUGGUUUUUAUUUGAAAGAUGGUUCUGCUAUCACUAAGAGAUGGUCCCGCGGUGCAUUAGUUAGAUGGUGAGGUAAUGGCUCACCAUGACGAUGAUGCAUAGCCGAGUUGAGAGACUGAUCGGCCACAAUGGGACUGAGACACGGCCCAUACUCCUACGGGAGGCAGCAGUAGGGAAUCUUCCACAAUGGGCGCAAGCCUGAUGGAGCAACGCCGCGUGUGUGAUGAAGGGUUUCGGCUCGUAAAGCACUGUUGUAAGAGAAGAAUGUACUUGAGAGUAACUGUUCAAGUAGUGACGGUAUCUUACCAGAAAGGGACGGCUAAAUACGUGCCAGCAGCCGCGGUAAUACGUAUGUCCCAAGCGUUAUCCGGAUUUAUUGGGCGUAAAGCGAGCGCAGACGGUUAUUUAAGUCUGAAGUGAAAGCCCUCAGCUCAACUGAGGAAUUGCUUUGGAAACUGGAUGACUUGAGUGCAGUAGAGGAAAGUGGAACUCCAUGUGUAGCGGUGAAAUGCGUAGAUAUAUGGAAGAACACCAGUGGCGAAGGCGGCUUUCUGGACUGUAACUGACGUUGAGGCUCGAAAGUGUGGGUAGCAAACAGGAUUAGAUACCCUGGUAGUCCACACCGUAAACGAUGAGUGCUAGCUGUUCGAGGGUUUCCGCCCUUGAGUGGCGUAGCUAACGCAUUAAGCACUCCGCCUGGGGAGUACGACCGCAAGGUUGAAACUCAAAGGAAUUGACGGGGACCC